This is a long non-coding RNA of Mirounga angustirostris (Northern elephant seal), 5440 nucleotides long. RefSeq lists it as uncharacterized. NCBI's taxonomy places the organism in Eukaryota, Metazoa, Chordata, Mammalia, Carnivora, Phocidae. The transcript has 3 exons. The record is from RefSeq and is a predicted model, not a curated record.
CACCAGCUACGGGCCCAGGGAGGCACGGGGUGUGGGGGGCGGGGGGAAGCAACCGUCAGGCAGGGCCUCCUUCCCCUGCCGCCCCCUGGAAGGAGGGCCAGAGGCCUUGGGACCACAGCGGGGUGAGCCGCAAAGCAGAAGGCCAUGCAGUCGGGAAAGACAGGGCGGGCGGCGCUGAGGGAGACGGUCUGGGUCCUAAGGAGGAGCCCAAGGAACCCUGGAAACUAGACAGAAUGAGGUGCAUGCACGUGUCCUCCUUGGGGACGGGCCCGGGGUUUUUGUCAGGGCCCCGUGGGGACCACGGCCCGAAACCACAACUGCCAUCCCGGAGCGCGGGUUGGCAAACUUUGGCCGGUGAGCGAGGCCUGGUCUUUACAUUUAUAAAUGGCUGAAAACAAUCACACUGAGAAUCCUAUAAAAUUCAAGUUUGAGUGUCCUAACUAAAGGCUUCCGGGGGCCCAGCGACACUCCCGUCCCCGUUCAUGGGCGCACUUCCUGUGCCUGUUUCAGGGCCCAGCAGCUGCGAUGAGAAGCCGGGACAGACUGCAGGGUCCACAGAGCCCCAGACACCUGCUGCCCGGCCUUCACGGCCAAGGAAAGGUCGGCCAAGCCCUGGCCCAGAGGCAAGACGGGGCUCAGAAAGAUUCUCCAGGCCUGCGGGAGACCAAGCAGCGAACUGCGGGAGGGGUCCUGGGCAGACCCCAGCACGACGCCCUGGGAUCGGGAGGGCUGUGACGGAGUCUCACUGCACGUUUUCCAAAAGCCCACAUCCAACGCAGAGAAAGGCCAGGAGGGAAUGUGUACACUCGUACGUGCAAAAGGGCAUCUGCACGCCGCCCGUGUGGGCCCUGGCCUCUCCGCCCCGGGGGCGGGGUGUCCAGUGCAGCCAGCAGGGGGCGCCCCGGCCAGCGCCUAGCCUCUGGUCCUCAGGCUCUCCCACUACACACAGCCGGCAGGUAAGCCCCGGGGGAAGUUGUGCCGCCCUUGCUUAGGGCACAGUCUGUGUGUGCGAGCGCCUUGGAAAUGGGGACGUGACUCGGCCCAUCUGUGCAAAGUACACACAAGGCGAUCAGUAAGUACCUGUCUGGCAACAGCGGGAGGGGAGACCCAGCAUGAGCCCCAAGCCCACCAACGUGCUCCCUGGCACUCUCCCGGGGCCGGGCUGCAGAGCAGGAAGGUCAAGGCUGGGGAAUGGGCCCAGGCCCCAGAGGGCAAAGACUCUCAGGAAUGUUCUGGGCCAGGAGGGAAUUUGGGGGAGGCCCAAAGGAGCCACAUCGAGCUCUGAUUAGAGGAAUCAUCCAGAAGGGCUUGUGCUCUGCCCGGAGGGUCCGAGUCCUGCCUCUGCACACGGUAUUUGGGGCCGUGGCUUCCCCCGGAGCUGUGCGUGAAGGCAGGACUGACGGACUCACCUCCUGCCCCAGCCCUGGCUCGGUGACGAUGCUCACCACUUAGGAAGAGUGGGCCACACACAGUGUAAGCUCCUGGUGAGGACACAGGUGUGGGCAAACCCCCAGGACCCCAGGGCCCCCCAGACGCUCAGAGGACAAGAGACCGCAGCGCGAGAAUGGGAGGGCUGAGCCCGAGAGCCCCCAGCCCGCCUCGGUGCCAGCCCGCCGUCUGCCCCCAUGGCUCCCUACCUCCGUGACAUCCAUGACCUUGAUGGCAGCCAGCUGCCCAGUCUUGACGUGCCGACCCUGUGGGACAGAAAGCCGGGCGUGGAGGCUCUGAGUCUGCGUCCAGGGACGGUGUGAUUCUGGGACAGGCCACGCCUUCUGGCUGUUUUCUGUCUUAGGAAGUGUCUCCGUGGUGACUGGACACUUCAUUAAUGGGUCAGUCACAGGGGAAGGCAGAGGCCUCCAAGAAGCACUAUGGAGCCUGGACUCCAAGCGCUAAGCUGGAUCAAGAUGAAGGGUCUCCUCCCCUAAAACAGCUUAGGGAGGCGAGGGAGAUUCACCUCUGCUCUGGACUUCCCACAGUUUGAAAAAUAGAGCAGGGAGUGAAAGGUUCUCUCCAGCCUUGGAUAGAGCUGGGGGAGGCCGGGGGAGGGGCUCUGCCUCUCCGACACCUUCUAUGCCCACUGCCUCAUGCGCCCCUCCCCCUGCCAGGAAGCCUUUCCCAGAAUCACCCCCUCCAAAGCUUUUUAUUAUUUUUGGCAGGAAAGAAUAGACAGAGUUGGGAUUUUAGGGAACUCGGGGAAACCCAGAAGGCUGACCGGCCUGUCGAUGGCCCAUCCCCGGCACUAAUGGGAAGUAACUUCUAGAGUAUGUCCCUGCCAUUCUCCCUCCUCCCCCCUCCUCCCUCUGACAUUCCUCCAGGAGCCAUCCCAGCCUUGGACCAGGGAGUUCAGGCUUCCUGGGGAAGGGGGGGGGGGGCAGCCCACGGAUCAUUCUUGUCCUCAGCAGUCAUCCAAGACCCCGAGCCCAGAGAAGCAGAACACAGGGCUACUAUUUCCACGGCAACGACCAGGCUAGCAAUGGGGGAAUGGGGGAGGGGUGCACCUUUCCCCAAAGCUUACAGGGUGGUCCCAGUGACCCAGGAAAUGCCCCUGAGAUGCAGAGACUGGUGGAAAGGCCUAGCAUCGUGUCAGGAGACACAGAAGGCGGGUGUGCGCCCUGGAGGCCCCAGCUCUGGGGAACAUCUAACAUGCCGCCUCCCCCUCCUAGUGGGACCCGUGGUCGGGCUGGGUGGGCCAGGCCAAAGCGACAGGCAACGGUCCGGGGCGGCCCGGAGGAGAAGGCCAGAGCUCUGGCUCCAGACCCGCUGCAGGCCGGCCCAGGAGCUCGAGAACACCACCUCCCCUCUGCGACAGGUCCUGGGGCUCGGCCGGCGCCAAGGCUGGGCCUCGCUGCGGUCUUGGAAGAAAAGCCAGAGCUGUGCUCGUGGCCUGAGCUCUGCUUUGCGUUCUCGGGUGAGCCCCGACAGACGCGCACGCGCACAGAUACGCACACGGAUGCACACGUGCACAGCUACACACAUGCACACAGACUCACGCAUACAUGCACAUGGACACACGCACACGCAGAUACGCAAAGAUACACACGUGCACACGCAGAUACACACAUGCACGCACAUGGAUACACACGUGAGCACGCAUGCACACUCUCGCCACUGCCCUCCUGUGCCCCUGCCCACACCCCGCCCGGAUCCAGACCUCCUCCUGCUGCACCCGGGACUCAUGGAGACUCCACGCACUGGCCAGCAAAAACACCCCACUUCCUGACCUUCCUUCCACUAUUUUCACCCUCCUUGCCUCUCCCAGGCCCUCCCUCCCCUCUCCCAGCCCCCGUCACCGCCCACAGCCCCAGACCUAGGGCCUGCCCCUGCCACCCGUCCCGAGGGCCCCAUGGAGGGGCCUCCCACUCCUGCCCCAUUAGAGCCUGACCUUGUACACCUGUCCGUACGUUCCAUUGCCGACCACUUCCACCAGCUCGAAGAUUCCAGCGGGGUCCUGCGGGGAGGGGGAAAGAACAAGUGUCGGGACUUCAGAACAGAGCGGGGAGAGAAGUAUCCGGUCAGAUGAGUGAGCAUGGGUGUAUUAGAGGGGGCUUCGGGGGACCGCAGACCCAGCUGUGGUUUUCGCGGAUUGGCUCAGAGGUCCUGCUCUACAGGAAAAGUCCGAAGAAGGGGAGAGAUGACAGCGGUGGGAGCCCACAGGCAGUGACAAACUGAGCGUCUGCGGCCUCCGAGCGUGCGCCUCUGGAGCUGGGGUCACCUGUAAACGAGGCAACGCCCAUCAAGAGCUUGAGACGGUGCCUGGCACAGAGUGCAUGUGUUCACAUAGGCUUUCUGGAGAACAAAAGAACCCUUGACCGCUCCUCCAUGGCCACCAGCAGCGAAACCUAACCUGGACGGGCCGGAUGGCGGGGAGACGCCAGCCCGAGGCUUCUGCAGGGCGUCCGCACUGGACGCCCCACUGUCCUCGCUUUCCCGGCAAGGGGACCUGAAGGCCUGGACACGCAGCGCCCUCCCUGUACAUCCCCUCAGAGCGCGCACCACCGCGCACCAAGACCGUGACUUUCCUCGCCUGGAAACUCCCGGAAGAAAGGGCCGGAACCCUCCCUGCUCAGCAGCGUGUCCAGCACCCAGCCCGGGCCCGGCACGCAGUAGCCCGAGAACAGCCCACACCUGCUCUGGGGAAGCCGUGAGGGAAGGUGCCGAGGGGCUCCCUCCGCGUGCUCCCCAGGGCACUGGGCUGACCUGGCCAAGCUCCAGCUGAAAUUAUCCAACAAAAACACGCCGACGACAAAACCACCUUGAUCAGGUCUAACAAAACAGUAGGCCCCGCAGGGAAGGGAGAAAGUGUCACUGCACAGGGACCGAUGGGAGCGGCUGGGAGCCUGGACCCGGUUCUCGUCUGCCUGCAGGCACCUAGCCCCCCCAAAAAGGCUCAGCCUCUCGGGGGCCUCUGAGCCCGGCCUGUUGGGCAGUCCUUUCUUACGUCUACUCCGCUCUUUCCGAGGCGGACGGACACAGAUGUGUCCGUCCGCCUCGGAACAGGGACUUGUGGUUGUGAAUUUUGGGGCGCUCCUCACCUAACAGGGAAGGACGGACGGUUUAAUUCUCUGAUCUCAGAUCCGAACCCGCCUCCUCCUCAGAUGUGUGGGAGAUGCUGGGGGAAGAAAGCAAUCCUUGGGGUCAGACGCAAUCUCCGGGCUCAGCUCUCCUGACCUGCAAACCAGGAUGGCACGGCGCACCUCCUGGGAAGGGCUUUCCAGAGAACGAAGCCGAGACCUGGCCUGUGACGGGCGUUGUGGUGCCCGGCCCCCUGCACAGAACAUGGACCAUUUCCACACCUGUUGCCCGUCCCUUCUUCCCUCCAGAUGGCCCCGUUUGUCUUCCUCUCAAUCCCGGGGCGUCCCCGCUCCCAGCUCAUGCCUUACCAUGCCUCUGUCCAUGGCCUGAGGUCACCUUCCUGACCUUCCUCUUGUGCCCAGAGCCGGCCUGGCCCCUGGGCUCACAGAGGAGUCCCAACACCUCAGGCUGGUAUUCAAAGUUGCCCCAUCGUUAACCAACCAAUAAAUAUUUUCUGAGUGAGUGUCUACACCCAUACUGGGCCUGCCUAGGCCCUAAUCCAGGGAAAUCUGUAAGGCAACUUUCUCUUCUUUCAUUUACCUGGUAAACAUUUAUCGAGCGCCAACUGGGUGACAACUCAAUUAGGCGCAAACAGAGCUCAACGAUACAUGAGAAACAUGGAAGAUCCAGGACGGACCUUGAGAUUUACAGGCCAAGUACCCCAAUGCAGACAGGUGGCGGUACAGGAUUUUAUGCUGAAAGAGCGAGUGAAGGCCCUCGAGGCAUCGAGAGGCUGCCAAGCAGAGUGGGAGGCCCUGGAGAGUAGCCUUCUAGGAGGUCUUGGGCAUCAGCUGUGUCCUGAGCAAAUAUUUAAGUGUUUGGGGCCUUGUCCUGCUCACACACACACAGAGGGGCUGGGACUGGGUGG